AACAUCUCCCCUGUUGCAAUAUCCCACACAUCAUCCAAGACGAUGAGGUACCUUUUAUCGAGUAGUGCUACUCGUAGCUUUCCAGCAAGGUCAUCCUCACUUUCUUUUGUCUCCGAGGCAGUAACUUGCUGAAGAAUCUCCCGCAACACCUUUGACUUGUUAAAGUUUUGGGAAACAGUGCACUUAGCACGAAUCUUGAAAUGACUAGCAACUAAUGUAUUGUUAUACACUUUAUUGGCAAGAGUAGUUUUACCGACUCCUGGCAUUCCAACAAUGGAAAUGACAUCAAGCUCGGAUUCAUGUUCAUCAAGGAGCUGGCCAAUGAUCCGGGCUUCAUCUUCCUCAUGACCUACUGUUACCUCAACAAAUGAUGAUGAGGUUAACUUAAUUGGCUCAUUGGAAGACUUUGCAUCAAGGGGGCCAUCCCCAUUCUUAUCCUCCAGCUGUAAACCGGUGACUUGUGCCACAAUAAGCUUGAUCUUAUCAGUGACAUUCGGAAGUGAGAAGAUUAAAUGCGAGAGAGCUUUAUCUCUGACAAGAAUGGAAUUAAUGACAUGUUCUGCCUCAUAUGCCACAUCCAAAGCACGCAUCCAACAAUCUUUAACAACUCCACUAGUGCUCUCAUCCAAUGUUUGCCUGAAAGAUGCUGUUAGGAAUUCAAGGCUUUGUUUCACCAUCUCAAUUUCUUUUUUUAUCAGAGAAACUGAAUAAGAAUUGGAAGUGAGUAAAUCAUUUAAAUGUCUGAGUAGAAGAUUCAUGAAGAGGAAACCAUCAUCCAUAGGAAAGCAAAGUUGGGAUGACUCUGGCGCUUUCAAAAUAAUCUGUUUGAUAUCUCCCUUCAUUCGUUCGAUUUCUUGCAACAAGUAUGGAGCUGAAAAGUCUGCUUCAUUCAUAUUAGAGCUCUCCUCCAUGAGAAUAGACAUCUUCCUUGUAAGUAGUCCGACAUGUGCCAACAUAGAGUUCAAUUUGCCACGAUGGAUAAAGCGCUUUGGUAUAUCAGUGAGAAAGAUCAAUAGGAACUCCAUCAUGACAUUAAUGCUUUGAGUUGCAGAGUAACUGACGGCUACCAUGCGUCCUUGGAGAUGAAUGAGAUAAUUCUGAAGAAUCCUUGGAGAUGCUUUUAGGAUUUGCUUAACCAAUCCUUCUAGUUCUUUUGACCUUGAUUCUUUGAUGAGGUUAGAAGUAGAAAUGUAUAGAACCUCCAGCUCGAGAGGGAUUAUGUCGAUGAGUAGAGAAGUGAUCUUGGAAGAGCAUUCAAAGACUAAAUACUCAUAACCAUCAUCAGUAUAUUCUUUAUACUCUCCAGUCCAAAGAUCAAAACAGAAUUGUGUUACUCUAUCAACUGUCAUUUGGUACCGAGCAUAGAGAAAUUCUGUUGUUGUAAUUUUGUUGCAUUCCAAUUCAUAGAAAUCUCUGAGAUGUGUACAUACUUGCCGCAGAAUCUUGUAUUCACUCAUGAGGGGUAGAAGCAAAUCAGAACAAUACUUUGGUAGAUCAUGGAGGUUUCUGAUGAGGUAUUCAAACAAUUUUAUCUCUGUAGUUGUGGCUACAUAAUCAUUCUUCAAACUCAAAUAAUUUCUUAUCUCUUCAAGCAGCAGAGGGGCAAGACAUUCCAUGUUGUAUCUCUCUAGGAUUAUUUUAUCUACGUACUCCAUAGAUUGAUCGAAUUUGCUUAUAUUCAUUGACAUCCUCUCAUAAAAGUCAUCCAAAUUCAUCGAAUUUCCAAACAGGACAAAUGUUCUUAGGAAUCUCAGUUCCAUUCUUAGAUUUUCAAAGGCAUCCAAUUUUGAAGCAAUGAAUUCAUUCUUUAUUUGCUUCAAGCGAUUCAAGAAAUCAUCAAUAAGAUUCGUGAUUCUUGUUUUUUGUUCCUCAAAUAAUAGCUGCUAAAUCAAAAACAUAUUCAUCAGCAAAAUUCAGUUGAAAAUUUUGGCUCUUAACACUUGAAACUACAGUAUUGGUAGACAAUAGACAUACCAAUGAUUUUUCUCCUUUUUCCAUCCAACCAGCCUUCAAUAUCUAAAAGAUUUGAUUUUUCAAACUAAUCACAUGCACAUUUAAUAAGGAUAAAAGAAUUAGAAACACAAGUAAAAGUAACAGCAAGAAGAAAGAGUUCAAAGAAUGUCAGCUGUUAUAAAUUCUAAAUUUGGCUUAAAUAUGUUAUCGAACUUUGUAGAAAAAGAAAAGAUUCAUUUAUGUCAUCAGUUAAAACUUUGGUUCAUCUAUGUCAUUAUCAUUUGAGAAAAAACACAUUCAUGCUAUUAUUUUUUACCCAAUAAGAUCCCAAACAACUUUUAAUACUUUUCAAUUGGAAUUUUAGAUCAAAUGGAUUCUUUUUGUUUCUUCUACCUUAAAAAACACAUGUAAAACUCUCAAAUUUCCAACUUCUUCCAUUCUUCACGAAUUCACCUCAAAUUUCCGCCACUAAUUAAUUUUUCUUUUAAUAAGCAAAAAUUCUAAAAUAUAUAAUCUGUAAAUCAAUCACAUUUAAGAAAGAGUAUAUUUACUAAAAACAAGAGUGAAUACUACAAAUUAUGACAAUCAUCUAACAUUUUAUAAUUAUCUAAGUCAAAAAUACAAAUUCGUUUUCUAGUUCUUGUAAUGUAUGUUUCAUUCAAAUCAAGUGAAUCACAAAAAUACAUGUAAAAUGAAAACUAGAAAAACAUUAUAUUAUACCUUUUUCUUUACUCUCAAAUGGUAGUUUGCCUUGUUGCAGAUUUACAAGAAGCAAACGUUGAAGUUAGAUCUGCAAAUGUUGAACUGUCAAUUAGUUUAUCAAAGUCUAGAGAUCUGAAAUAGAUUAGUUUAAGUUUACUACUCACUCCUUCUAUUUUUAAUUGUUAGGUUGCGUUUUUCGAAAGUUAAUUUGAUUAAUUUUCAAAGUUAAAUUCAAUUAUAUUAAUUCGAUAUUUUAAGUAUUCUGACAUGUGCCAACAUAUCGUUCAAUUUUUCACGAUGGAUCAAUAGGAACUCCAUCAUGACAGUAAUGCUUUGAGUUGGAGCGUAUUUGACAGCUACCAUGCUUCGUUGGAGAUGAAUGAAAUAAUUUUGAAGAAUCCUUGGAGAUGCUUUUAGGAUUUGCUUCACAAACCUCUCUAGUUCCGUUGACCUUGAUUCUUUCAUGAGUUUCAAAGUAGAAAUGUAUAGAACCUCCAGUUCAAGAGGAAUUAUGUCAAUGAGUAGAGAAGUGAUCUUGGAAGAGCAUUGUGAGACGUUAUAGUAAUCAUAAUUUUGCUAGAGUUCAAUAAGUUUUGGAGUUCUUCUAAUUAUUUGUCUUAGUGCAAUAAAACUGUAACUCCGUAGGUAUUGUAUUUCUCAUUUCAACCUUUAAGUUUAGCACUAUGUUGUUGAACUAAGCUUUUUCCUACACGAUUAAACUGACCUUUGAGUUAUUACUGCGAUAACAACCAGUUGUAAUUAAGGUUCAACAUGAGCUUGAGCUUGGUGUUUUAAGGUUGUAGGCAGGUAGAUCUUUUCCCAUAUGUGAACAAAUGAUGUACUUUUAUUUGAUGCACUGGUACUGAUCAGAGAAUGUAGAAUUCCUACUCGUUCAUGUGGUAUCGAUUUUACUGUUCUUGGAAUUUCAAAGCUGUUUCCAUAGAGGUAUACUGAACUUGUCCUGUACGAUAUUUCUCAAACGACGUCCCUUGGUUAUAAUCUCUUUCUCCGUAAUUGUAUUAACCAUUGGAGUUACUUGUACCUACAGAGCAGAAAGCAAAUCAAAACCGAUACUUUGAUGUUAUUCAUUUUGGUUUCUGUGCGACUUGGUUUACAAUUCGAGGGAAAUGAUUAAUGUAUAGCUAAAUAAAUUGAUAUUCAUCAUUGGUAAAUUGAUCUUGAAAGUACCGUCUCAGCAUGAAUGAUUAUUUCUCUUGUUCGAAAAAUCAUGUACUUUGUUGUACAUAUGCAGGUGAAUCAACUAACGACGACCAUACAUUGAUUUAACACUACCUGUUAUUUUACCAAAGUCUAAAUCCGUUCCCGACUUAUCUCCAAGCAACAUGAAGCCUCCAAAUUUCAAUCUUGAAUCAGAAGACGAGUCCGAGGUCAGCAACUGCCAAGUGGGUUCAAACAUAUCCGUCCAAGAAAUUCGCCCUGGUCCUUCCCUUAAUCUUCAGCAGGAAUCAGUUCCUGUUACCCUUGACUUGACUCUUGGCUUCAGCAGCAGUGACUCCGAGUUGAAAGCCAAUGCUGAGGCGAGUGACGAAGAAGUACCCCAUCCUCCAACGGCAGCACUAUCCUGAGUUUUCUCGUGCAAUUUCUGCAGGCGCAAGUUUUACAGCUCCCAGGCAUUGGGCGGACACCAGAACGCACAUAAGAGGGAGAGGACUUUAGCUAAGAGAGCAAUGCGGAUGGGAAUGUUAUCGGACAGGUACGCUAGCUUAGCAUCAUUGCCCCUUCACGGGGCUGCAUUUCGAUCUCUUGGCGUUGAAGCUCAUGGUUCCACACACCAACGCAUCUCGCACCAAGAAACACCUAUUCAUGCAGUUAGAAGCGGGGCUAGAUUUGAACAAGGCUAUUUCGGGAUGCCAGUAUUCGUGGAGGAUGAUGAAGUGGAAGUGUUCUGGCCCGGUAGCUUCAGGCAAAUAGACGGAAUUGGUGGCAAUAUGGGGUAUAAUUCAGGGCAAAGUUCAAGCAUAAAUUUUGUAGCUGUAGCUCCUCAAACUAGGACAGAUCCAACAUUGCCUGAUCUUAAUUUGAAACUCUGAUUUUUUGGUAUUCUAUUCUACUUUUUGUAUCAGAAUUUUCACAAUUGUUGUAUUACAUAUUUACAUUAGUGCUCUAUUUGUACAGGAGAUGAAUAUUUGAGACUGUCUUGAGCUUUCAAUUUUGAAUCUUUUUCAUUCCCAAAUUUGUUUAGUUGACCAUCUUAUUGUACAAUUAUAGUAUGAUACUUUGUUACAUAUAAGUACAGAUUUGGGACAGUGCUGAUAUUUUUUAGUUUAUUUAAACCUUUAACCCUGUUUAUCAUUAUUCGUUAGAUUCUUUUCAGGAAGUCUCACAUUGGGAGUAAGACAUACAUAGGCGAUUUUAUAUCUGGUAAGGCUCGAACGCGAGACCUCUGAUUAAGGAUCAGAGAGUGCUGCCUCUCCACCACAGUGCUUGUUGGCACAGUAGUAAUCAUAUUAACUGUCCAUAUCAAUAGUGAUAGUUAGUUGCCUUUUGGCAUUGAAACCUUCCAAUUAAAAAAAACAAAACUAGUAUCUUAUAUGAGAGAUUACAGACGAAAUAAGAUUCAUAACUAACAAAAAAACAGGAAAGAAAACACACGACAAAUUAGAUCAAAAUAUGUCCAGAACCAGCAAUGAGAAAAACCAGUAACAAGUUUGUUUAUUGGAAGCAGUAAUCAGAUGGAGGCGUUGCGUUGUUUCGUUCUUCAUUGUUGUGAUUUGUCCAACUUCAUCAAUCACUGCGAUUCAUAACCACGAGAAUCAGUGCAAUCACUCCACCAACUAUGUAUAAGUAUUAUAUUUCAACAUGCUAGCACAAAUCAAACAUUCAGGAUCUAAGUAUUCUCCACCUGCAAUACAAAACAAAUCCAUUGAAUUUUCUCAUAAUGUUACAACUAGUCAAAUCAGUGGAUGAUUUGUUUAUUGCCUCUAAACAAAUGUCAAUAAAAGUUUGUUUUUGUGGUAGUGUGUGCAGGAAGAAGAAUGAACUCUACUACUAACAACUUCAACGAACACACUACACAAAUGCAAAUUAUAUAAAUUAAACGAACUUAGUUACCUCAUCUUCAUCCUCUGUUUUUUCUCGUUGGUUGCCAAUCAAAUAUGAUGUGUGGACAUCAAGUCUGUCCUCUCCUGUGAAAUCUGCUACAUUUUUCUUAAUCUCAAUGGCUGAAUCUCCAAGCUCACGCCUAACGCCUCUUAAAUCAAUGGACUUUAAAGUGUCUAUAUCUAUAAAUGCACAAGGGAUCUCCCAAAGUGUGAUACAAAGUUUUAGUAUAAAUUUCUCAAGCUUGGGAAAAGUUUCCCUCUCAACUUGCCAUUCUGAUAAUUGGACAUCUCGCAAAAUCAAAGUCUUAAGACUUAGAUAGAUGUCCUCACUUGCGUCCCAUUUCUUAUCCACGAAUUUACAGCUGGAAAACUCCAUAAUCUCAAGCUCAGGCAACGCUGCGAUUACUGACAACAAAUCAGGUCUCAGGAGAAAACCAGUCAACCGUAACUCUUUCAAGCUUGUAGGGAAGUGAUAUCCAUUGGGUUGUCGGAUUAACGAGGGAUAUCCAUUGCACUCGUAUCUUGCUUUGAGUGAUUCGAGUUUAUUAAGUACAUCAAGCUUGGGAAACCAAUAGUCGUGUGUAGGAGGAUACUGCGAUUCCAUGAUGAUGCAAUCAAGGUGCUGAAGAAUUGGGAACUUCUCCAGAGCAUCAUCACUCAUGCCUUCAGAAUAUGAGAUAACAACUCCCGAUAGAGUUGUCAAGUUUGAAGAAUUCCCAGCUUCCAAUAUUCUACUUUGGACAUCCUCUUUCUUUUCAAAGAAAGAACUCAUGUCAAUUUUCACAUGUUUCAGCUUUGACAGUUGCAAUAUUCUAGGCAGUAAUACCAUGGUGGAAUAAUGUGUAUCGAUCAACAGCGUUUCCAGAUUCUGGAGGUUCAACCACGACACUGGAAUAGCUUUUCCCAAAGCAUGAAUGCUUAAGAACCUCAAAUGAAAUAAGGACCCUAUUUCUUCAAUUAAAGAACCUUUCAGAACAAUGAAAUCCAGUUGCAACACUCUAACAAGUCCAAAGGGUCUUGUGUGACAGAUAUAUCUGAAGUCAUCAAGUGGACCACUCACUUUUAAAGAUAUGAGAUGCUUACUAACAGCUAAGCACUUAUUAGAAUUGAAUAAAACACAUUUUUUGUGGAGUUGGUAGUUGUCAGUAUGAAUGGUUAGACGAUGGUGUAGGAAAUCUGAAGCAUGAAAUGUAUCACCUGAAUUGAUUAACUUGAGAAGCUUCUCCUUUUUGGCUUUUUCAGAACAAAAAUCGUGCACAACAUCAUGCACAUAGCAAACCUUGAUCAUUAAAGGCGUCCACCAAAUGCUCUCGGAGGGGAUAUGAUCCACCAUUAUCAGGCUACUGGAAAUUAGAGCAUCCAAGUAACUUUGAGUUACUUCCUCUAAACUAUCAUGAUCCACAAACCCUUCGGCCAUCCACAACUGCAUCAAUGUAGAGACUGGAGUUCGUUGGCUCUUUUGAGUUGUCGCAAAGUAAAGCAGCAACGGCUUCAGGUGGCAUGGUAAAUGGUCAUAACUUAAUUGCAUAACCAAAUUGAUGUUUGUAGAAAUAAAGGAAUCCAGAUUAUGCAGUAUCUUAAGCCAAAAAUCCUUUUCCUUUUUCUUCCCUCUAACAAUUACUCCAGCAAUUAAAACAAUAGCCAAGGGAAGACCCUUACAUUUCUCAACUAUUUGGUGUCCAACUUUUGACAGUUCAGCAGGGCAGCUUCCUUUAUCUCCAAAUACCUUUUUUACGAAUAAAUCCCAACUUUUUUCAGGUGUUAAGAGUUGAAGGCGGAGAGGAUCACUAUGGCAUUUGACUUGCAAACCUACCUUACUACUUCGGCUGGUUAAGAUAAUUCUAUUUCCUCUCUUAACCUUUGGAAAACAUGCUAUUAACAUCUCCCCUGUUUCAAUAUCCCACACAUCAUCCAAGACGAUGAGGUACCUUUUAUCGAGUAGUGCCCUUCGUAGCUUUUCAGCCAGGUCAUCUUCACUUUCUUUUCCUCCCGAGCCAGUAACUUGCUUAAGAAUCUCCCGCAACACCUUUGACUUGUUAUACUAUUGGGAAACAGUGCACCAAGCACGGACAUGGAAAUGACUAGCAACUAAUGUAUUUUUAUACACUUUGUUGGCCAGAGUAGUUUUACCGAGUCCUGGCAUUCCGACAAUGGAAAUGACAUCAAGCUCAGAUUCAUGUUCAUCAAGGAGCUGGUCAAUGAUCCAGGCUUCUUCUUUCUCAUGACCUACUGUUACCUCAACAAAAGGUGAUGAAGUUGACUGAGUUGGCUGGGAGGAAGACUUUGCAUCAAGGGGGCCAUCCCCAUUCUUAUCCUCCAGCUGUAACCUGGUGACCUGUUCCACGAUAAGUUUGAUCUUAUCAGUGACACUCGGAAGUGAGAAGAGGAGAUGCGAGAGAGCUUUAUCUCUGACAAGAAUGGAAUUAAUGACAUGUUCUGCCUCAUGCCACAUCCAAAGCACGCACCCAACAAUCUUUAACUACUCCACUAGUGCCAUUCAAUGUUUGCCUGACAUUCCAAAAAGAUGAUUUUAGGAAUUCAAGGCUUUCUUUCACCAUCCCAAUUUCUUUUUUUAUCAGAGCAACUGAAUAAGCAUUGGAAGUGAGUAAAUCAUUUAAAUGUCUGAGUAGAAGAUUCAUGAAGAGGAAACCAUCAUCCAUAGGAAACCGAAGUUGAGAUGACUCAGGAGCUUUUAAAAAAAUGUGUCUGAUAUCUCCCUUCAUUUGUUCAAUUUCUUGCAAAAAGUCCAGAGCUGAAAAGUCCGGUUCAUUGAUAUUAUCCUCAGAGAUCUCCUUCAACAGCUUGCGCACCAGAAAAAAUAUUUUUCUGGUAAGCAUUCCAGCAUGUGCCAACAUAUUGUUCAAUUUUUCACGAUGGAUAAACCGCUUUGGCAUAUCAGUGAGAAAGAUCAAUAGGAACUCCAUCAUGACACUAAUGCUUCGAGUUGGAGCAUAAUUGACUGCUACUACACCGGCCAUGCGUCCUUGGAGAUGAAUGAGAUAAUUUUGAAGAAUCCUUGGAGAUGUUUUUAGGAUUUGCUUAACAAAUCCUUCUAGUUCUUUUGACCUUGAUUCUUUGAUGAGCUUAGAAGUAGAAAUGUAUAGAACCUCCAACUCAAGAGGGAUU
RNAcentral lists this long non-coding RNA (8843 nucleotides) under Solanum lycopersicum (tomato). Its description in RNAcentral is "long non-coding RNA (SLYC_LNC001422)". The record is from RNAcentral. Lineage: Eukaryota; Viridiplantae; Streptophyta; Magnoliopsida; Solanales; Solanaceae.